RNAcentral lists this long non-coding RNA (250 nucleotides) under Capsella rubella. RNAcentral's name for it is "long non-coding RNA (CRUB_LNC004921)". The record is from RNAcentral. Lineage: Eukaryota; Viridiplantae; Streptophyta; Magnoliopsida; Brassicales; Brassicaceae.
UUGAUAUCUGGUAGGAAACUUUGAACGAUCUCUGGCAGAAGCUUAGAGAUCGCCGGUUCGAAUAGCAUUUGGGACGAAACCAUAUAACAUGCUUUGGUUUCGGGCCUGAGGGGAUGUAUGGGCUUUGGCCCAGAACCUCUUUGAUUAUUCAAAAAAAAAAAAAAAAACCAAAUUUAAUUUAUGUUAUAUACAUGUUUUAAUUAGAUUUAAUCUGGUAUAUUUGGGUUUAAACCAGAUUUCAACCUUAGAC